CAGCCGCCGCGGUAAUACCGGCGGCCCGAGUGGCGGUCACUAUUAUUGGGCUUAAAGCGUCCGUAGCCGGGUUGGUUAGUCUCCCGGGAAAUCUGGCCGCUUAACGGUCAGAAUUCCGGGAGAUACUGCCAGCCUAGGGACCGGGAGAGGCCGAGGGGAUUCCCGGGGUAGGGGUGAAAUCCUAUAAUCCCGGGAGGACCACCUGUGGCGAAGGCGCUCGGCUGGAACGGGUCCGACGGUGAGGGACGAAGGCCAGGGGAGCAAACCGGAUUAGAUACCCGGGUAGUCCUGGCUGUAAACGAUGCGGACUUUGUGUCGGACAAGCUAUGAGCUUGUCCGGUGCCGGAGGGAAACCGUUAAGUCCGCCGCCUGGGGAGUACGGCCGCAAGGCUGAAACUUAAAGGAAUUGGCGGG
RNAcentral lists this ribosomal RNA (414 nucleotides) under uncultured microorganism. Its description in RNAcentral is "bacterial SSU rRNA". It matches the Rfam family "Archaeal small subunit ribosomal RNA", at positions 459 to 872 of the family's 1478-position model. The record is from RNAcentral.